RNAcentral lists this ribosomal RNA (341 nucleotides) under uncultured Methanobrevibacter sp. RNAcentral describes it as "bacterial SSU rRNA". It matches the Rfam family "Archaeal small subunit ribosomal RNA", at positions 347 to 688 of the family's 1478-position model. Lineage: Archaea; Methanobacteriati; Methanobacteriota; Methanobacteria; Methanobacteriales; Methanobacteriaceae. The record is from RNAcentral.
CCUUUACAAUGCACGCAAGUGUGAUAAGGGGAUACUCAGUGCUUACGCUUAUGGUGUAGGUUUUGUUGUGUGUAAAGAGCACGACGAAUAAGUGGUGGGUAAGACUGGUGCCAGCCGCCGCGGUAACACCAGCGCCACGAGUGGUCAUCGCGAUUAUUGGGCCUAAAGCGUUCGUAGCCGGUUUGGUAACUCUCUUGUGAAAUUGUCCUGCUCAACGGGACAGCGUGCAGAAGACACUACCAGACUCGGAGACCGGGAGGGGUCAGAGGUAUUCCAUAGGGACCGGUAAAAUGGGAUAAUCUAUGGAGACCACCGAUGGCGAAGGCAUCUGACCAGAGCGG